UUCAUUUAUAUAAUCUCUGAUUUUGUCAACAUCAAGCUCAUCCUUGUUGCCUUCAGACACAAAGCUGUCAUUUUUGACUUUACUCUUCCUAGUCUUUCUUGUUUUCGGUGCGUCGUAAUACAGAAAAUCAUCUUUCUAAAAGGAUGUAGACUUCCUUCCUUCUUUAUGGAUUCUGUACCCAAUUGAGUCUUCCUCGGCUACAUCUUUAGCUACUUGGUUCAUACGGACUGGCAUCUUAUCAGCGGUCUUCGCAACACUCUGUAACAUGCAAGAGAGGUAUUAUAUUGACAGAGAACUUGAUUUGUAGCAUGCAAGAGAGGUAUUAUAUUUAUAGAAAACAACUGGACUUGCAAAUAAUUAAUUUCGUAUGUGAGCUUACCUCAGAUUUGUGGAAAAGGUUUGGGGAUUCAUCCUCGGCCUCUUUUACAUCUUUACUGGU
This 439-nucleotide long non-coding RNA is filed under the name Triticum aestivum (bread wheat). RNAcentral's name for it is "long non-coding RNA (TAES_LNC009399)". Lineage: Eukaryota; Viridiplantae; Streptophyta; Magnoliopsida; Poales; Poaceae. The record is from RNAcentral.